Molecule: ribosomal RNA, 239 nt
Filed under: uncultured bacterium
Lineage: Bacteria
Description: partial 16S ribosomal RNA
Rfam family: Bacterial small subunit ribosomal RNA
Source: RNAcentral
GAUCCUGGCUCAGGACGAACGCUGGCGGCGUGCUUAACACAUGCAAGUCGAACGGGGCUACUAUGAUGGAGUUUUCGGACAACUGAUUAGUAUGCCUAGUGGCGGACGGGUAAGUAACGCGUGAGUAACCUGCCUUUCAGAGGGGGACAACAGCUGGAAACGGCUGCUAAUACCGCAUAAUAUAUACGGAUCGCAUGAUUUGUAUAUCAAAGAUUUUAUCGCUGGAAGAUGGACUCGCG